Anthonomus grandis grandis is the source of this 1080-nucleotide long non-coding RNA. RefSeq lists it as uncharacterized. Lineage: Eukaryota; Metazoa; Arthropoda; Insecta; Coleoptera; Curculionidae. The transcript has 3 exons. The record is from RefSeq and is a predicted model, not a curated record.
CUCUACUAUCAAUGUCAGAGCUGAGCCAUACUCAAUUUUGAUAAUUAUUUAUUUUAAUUUUCACAAAAUUUGAUUUUAGUUGUGGUACAUUAUUGUUCUAGUCUUUAUUAGAUAUGAUUUUUGAAAGAUGGAUGAUAAUAAACAAUGUUGCAUUGACUGUAUAUUAUUGAAUAUUUAAGACAUUGCGAGUUUAACCUAGAAUAGUGAUUUUGAAUUAUGUCUGAACACUAUAAGGCCCUCAUUCCUGAUGACGUAGUUAUACAGGAACUAAUUAAGGAAAGUCGAAGAAGGCUGAACCAGUCAGUCGAGAGUGCCCGCCUCAAACCAAAUCUUAACUUUUUUCAAAGAACGGUUAACGGCUUGGUUUCAACCAAUAAUAGGAUAGAAAAAAGUCUGUAUGCAGUUAAAGUUAAGGCCUCGAACCAGAAAUACAAGAAAAGUAAAACGUUAGUAAUUCCGACUUUAACCUCUUCGCCAAAAAUAAGCCCUAAGAAAAAAAAUCAUUUUGUUUCGGCUGCUACUGAAAUCUCAAAAAGCUCUCAUGGAUAUUUAGGUUUUUCUUAUAAAACUAAAAAUAACAAAAAAUUUAAAACAAGUGAUAAACUAAAAGAACUAGAAAAAUAUAUUGAAGGGGUGUCCACCGACUCGGAGGAUGAUUCGGGUGACUCCGUAGUUUAUAUAAAGACUGAUAAACAUUUAUAUGAUGGGUACAGUAAAAAAGCAACCCCUAAAAGCGAAAAUAGUAGUGUUAUUUUAAUCUCUAGCUCUGAUGAUGAUUUUCCUUAAAGUUCUUCCUUAAAAUCUUCGAAAAUAAAUCUAAGCACAGAAAGAGAAUUGAGAUUGCUUGAAUAAUUGUAAUAAUUAAUUUUCAAUUAUAUUCAGAAAAAUGUGCCUAGAGUAACCAGUCCUAAGUGAAUUUUACUAGCCAUGGCAUGCUUAUUAUAAUGUAAAUCUUGUUCCUUUAUUUUUGUAAGAUAUAUUUAGCCUAAAUUUAAUAAUAGUGUAUAAUUCGUUAGAAUUAUUUGACAUUUUGAGCUAUUCUAUUUUAAAUGUUUAAAAAUAUAUGUAUUUUAGUUUAAA